UGAGGAUAUAGCUAAGUGGCAAAGUAUUUGUCUAGUAUGUGGGAGGCCCUGGGUUCAAUCCCCACUACUUAA
This 72-nucleotide transfer RNA is filed under the name Marmota monax (woodchuck). RNAcentral's name for it is "tRNA.Thr". The record is from RNAcentral. Lineage: Eukaryota; Metazoa; Chordata; Mammalia; Rodentia; Sciuridae.